RNAcentral lists this long non-coding RNA (565 nucleotides) under Gossypium barbadense (sea-island cotton). RNAcentral's name for it is "long non-coding RNA (GBAR_LNC003520)". Lineage: Eukaryota; Viridiplantae; Streptophyta; Magnoliopsida; Malvales; Malvaceae. The record is from RNAcentral.
CUUGAUCCUUCUUCAUUUGGUCUGUGGUUCUUUUUUACUUUCUUUUCUUCUGCCGUGUAGCUCUUAUUGAUUGCUUUUUCUUCUUCAUUUUUUUUUGUACAGGUCGAUCAACUCAAUUGGUUUUUGAAAUCAAAACCUUGCUCUACAAAAAGAGUUGAGUUGAACCAUUGAGUUCAAUGGGAAUCAAAUCCAUCAUCAACUCUCUCAAAUGCUCGACUCACAGCUCUGCUUCAUCACCUUGUACCCCCAUUUUGCUAUUUUCCAACCAAACCCACAGUGUCAACUCAAAGCCUACAACUGUGUGUACCAUCAAUGAACCCACCAUUUGCCAGUGUAUUGUAGCUCCGUAUUUAUCGUGGAUUGCUGGGGUCAGGAAUAUAUUUAGGUUUCUUGUGACGAGGUGUUUUGGUUUAUACAUUUGCCUACAUCUUACAUUUUUCUGCUUUUAUUAAUAGGAUUAACUGCUUGGAUUGUUGGUAAGGAAUUUAUUUAAUAUUUUGUUACAGCUAUAUAAUAUUUUCUUUCUAAUUUUUACACUCUCAAAUGCUCCCUCUCUUUAAAAAAA